GGGCUGGAGAGAUGACUCAGUGGUUUGAAGCACUUGGUGCUCUUGUAAAGGACCUGGGCUUGAUUCCCAGUGUUCACAUGGUUCACAAUCACCCAUAACUCCAGUUCCAAGUACUCUCUUCUGACCUCCACAGGGACCAAGAACAUACAUGGCACCAACAUCCAUGCAGGCAGAAUAUUCACACACAUAAAAUAAAAUGUCUCUUGAAGUAACAUGUCAUCCAGAGUCCACUCCCCAUUGGAUGAGUCAUUCACUGGUCUUCCAACAAAACAGAUGGUGAGCAGUGGAGAAGUCAGGGAAAGUGAAGAAAAUGAAAGAGGGAGGUCAAUUCAGCAAGAGCCUGCCUAUCCAUGUCAAGAAACAAAUAGAAGUCAUCACCAACCACAGAAAGGGAAGAGCUACUCCUGGAUGAAUUGUUGUUCUGAGACGUCUCCAAGAUCCCCCAGAUCAUUGCCACUACUGGCGCCUGCAUAACAGUCCUG
Molecule: long non-coding RNA, 482 nt
Filed under: Cricetulus griseus (Chinese hamster)
Lineage: Eukaryota; Metazoa; Chordata; Mammalia; Rodentia; Cricetidae
Description: lncRNA (ENSCGRG00015040647.1)
Source: RNAcentral